UACGAAGGGGGCUAGCGUUGUUCGGAAUUACUGGGCGUAAAGCGCGCGCAGGCGGUCCUUUAAGUCAGGUGUGAAAGCCCAGAGCUCAACUCUGGAACUGCCUUUGAAACUAGAGGACUUGAGUACGGGAGAGGUGAGUGGAAUUCCGAGUGUAGAGGUGAAAUUCGUAGAUAUUCGGAAGAACACCAGUGGCGAAGGCGGCUCACUGGCCCGUUACCGACGCUCAGGCGCGACAGCGUGGGGAGCAAACAGG
RNAcentral lists this ribosomal RNA (253 nucleotides) under uncultured bacterium. RNAcentral's name for it is "partial 16S ribosomal RNA". It matches the Rfam family "Bacterial small subunit ribosomal RNA", at positions 524 to 776 of the family's 1533-position model. The record is from RNAcentral.